AGCUUUGCUCAGUGGCAGUAUCGUAGCCAAUGAGGUUUAUCCGAGGCGCGAUUAUUGCUAAUUGAAAAAAGUACCAUAUUAAACUCUCUGGUGGGUAUAAGAAAGAUAAGCUGAGAUCUUCAACCUUCAAAAUUACUCAGUAUUUGGGAAGACAA
This is a small nuclear RNA of Panthera leo (lion), 155 nucleotides long. Its record names the gene U4. It matches the Rfam family "U4 spliceosomal RNA". Rfam says of the family: U4 small nuclear RNA (U4 snRNA) is a component of the major U2-dependent spliceosome. The structure of U4 snRNA from yeast and human has been reported. The record is from Ensembl. Lineage: Eukaryota; Metazoa; Chordata; Mammalia; Carnivora; Felidae.